Molecule: long non-coding RNA, 942 nt
Filed under: Olea europaea subsp. europaea
Lineage: Eukaryota; Viridiplantae; Streptophyta; Magnoliopsida; Lamiales; Oleaceae
Source: RNAcentral
AAAAUCCAUUUUCAAAAAUCGAAAACAGGCAUCUUUAAGAAAGGCUAUUGGUAGUUUACUAGAUUGGCUUUUUCUUCCAUUUUUAAUCAUGUCCAGAAUUGUCUCGUCGCACACAUCAUUUAGGGGAAGACCUUUAAACGUGCUUGUGCACAUCUUCUAUUCAACUCCUUGGAAUACAACAACUUAAAUAUUGAGCAAACGAAUAGGGAAGAAAUUGGAAAUCUACCAAAUGAUGCACAUCCCAGUUGAAAGUUGUAACUACCAGGAAAGCUGAAUAAUAGGUGAUCAAACUUAACAGUAAACAUCGAAGAGAGUGACACCUCAAAUAUGCAAUAUACUUCCAUGCCUUUUCAGAACUAUCGUGUGAUCCAUGUAAAUAGAACUUAAAUGUGGCAUUAGAUUGUUCUGAUACUAUAAUCCUACAAAAUUCUUCUGUCCCUUGGAUGUCAAAGGACUUCCAACUACUCAUAAACGCUGCCACAAGUGCUACUUUCUCAAAUUUACAAUAUAAUUUCAAUUCUGCCUAAAACAACAUAUACUGGAACAUGUCAUCGCUCUGGAACUUUGGGCAAAAGCAACACCCUAUGUGCUCACCAACUGUGGAGGCAAUCAGCAUCAAAAGUGUAUUCCAGUGUUUCUGCAGAUAUAACUUAAUCUGAGUAAGUCGCAUAAUUGAAAANCCAAAAGUGUUAUUCACCGGAUAUCAAGUGACACUGAGAACUCCAUUUAACAGUUUCUAGGCUUUAUCAGGAUCAAGAAUUCAAAUGUAGAGAGAGAUAUUUUAAAAAAUCAUCCCUCUGUUUCCUAUAUUCUUGAUUUUUCUUUGUGAGUUCUAACAGAAAGCUGUUUCAGAAGAGUACCUUCGGCGCUCUAUAGCAAAACCAUAAAGAACUGCAUUUGCCGCCAUUUUCUUUACUUCUAAUGUUAAUAUACUACAAAAAC